GACGUAGGGUGCAAGCGUUGUCCGGAUUUACUGGGCGUAAAGAGCGCGUAGGCGGUCUGUUAAGUGAGAAGUGAAAGCUCCGGGCUCAACUCGGAAAUUGCUUUUCAUACUGGCAGACUGGAGUGAUGCAGAGGUUUGUGGAAUUCCUGGUGUAGCGGUGAAAUGCGUUGAUAUCAGGAGGAACACCCAUGGCGAAGGCAGCAAACUGGGCAUUAACUGACGCUGAGGCGCGAAAGCGUGGGUAGCAAACAGGAUUAGAUACCCUGGUAGUCCACGCCCUAAACGAUGGAUACUAGGCGUUGGAGGUAUCGACCCCUCCAGUGCCGCAGCUAACGCACUAAGUAUCCCGCCUGGGGACUACGGCCGCAAGGUUGAAACUCAAAUGAAUUGACGGGGACCCGCACAAGCGGUGGAGCAUGUGGAUUAAUUCGAUACUAACCGAAGAACCUUACCCAGACUUGACAUCGAUCGCAAGCCUAUGAAAGUAGGCCCUCUCCCACAAGGAGACGUGAAGACACUUGUUGCAUGGCUGUCGUCAGCUCGUGCCGUGAGGUGUACGGUUAAGUCCGCCAACGAGCGCAACCCUCGUCGUGUGUUACCAGCGAGUAAUGUCGGGGACUCACACGAGACCGCCGGUGUAAGCCGGAGGAAGGUGGGGAUGACGUCAAGUCAGCAUGGCAGUUACGUCUGGGGCUUCACACAUGCUACAAUGGGCGAAACAAAGGGCAGCAAAACCGCGAGGUGGAGCCAAUCCCAAAAAUACGCCCCCAGUUCAGAUUGCAGUCUGCAACUCGACUGCAUGAAGGCGGAAUCGCUAGUAAACGCAGGUCAGCUAUACUGCGUUGAAUACGUUCCCGGGUCU
RNAcentral lists this ribosomal RNA (862 nucleotides) under uncultured bacterium. RNAcentral describes it as "SSU rRNA". It matches the Rfam family "Bacterial small subunit ribosomal RNA", at positions 524 to 1381 of the family's 1533-position model. The record is from RNAcentral.